GCGUGCUUAUGGGUGGACGGAAACAACCCAAAAGAAAGGAAGAUAGUGCUGCUAAAGAUGUGGGUGGUUUUAGUAGCUAGCGCUGCACAGACAGAAGAGCUUGCUCCAGGGACUGACCCGCAUUUCCUGUUUGCCUCCUCAUAAUGGCCGGAUGUAGAGGGCGCCCACAGACCCAGAUGAAGACCCUGCAUCUGAGGGAGGUGAAGUCAGAGGCUCAAGGUUGCACAACCAGUACCUAAAACGAGCCCUUCGACUCUAAGCCCUUGACCCUGGCCAGGAGUGGGAGAAAGUUCACAGAACCAACCUCUCUAGGCACAGUCACUGAGAGAUGAGCAGGCCUCUUCUACCACACUCUCCUGCUAUGAUUUACUGUACUGACACAAGUCCGAAGCAACAGAGCCAAGUGACCAUGGACUGAACCCUAUGAAGUCGUGAGCCGAAAUAAAUCUUUCCGCCUUUUAA
Non-coding RNA from Heterocephalus glaber (naked mole-rat), 462 nucleotides. The record is from RefSeq and is a predicted model, not a curated record. Lineage: Eukaryota; Metazoa; Chordata; Mammalia; Rodentia; Bathyergidae.